CUAAUUUCCCUAAACUAGCCGCCUUUCUCCCCUUUCCCUUUUCCUUUCUUCCUAAUCUAGCACACACUACACAACAGCAGUAAAGAACAAAAGAAAGAAAAGAGAGACGGGAGUUGGAGUGAGGGAGCUGAAUGGAAAGGGAAAAGAGAGAGCGUUUGAAAACAGAGAGAAAGAGAGCGACGGGGAAGAGGAGAGGGAUUGGAAGGGAGGAGACCGCAUCUACUACGCCACCACUGCCAUCUUGUUAAUGUGGCCGUCGAGUCACCGUCGUAGAGCUGAGUCGCGAAGAGAGUUCACGAGCGAUAGAGAGAGCGACGUGGAGGGCGAGAGUCGCGAGCCUGGGACCGUCGCAUCGCCGCCAUCCUCGCACCAGCCACCGCCGCUGUCGGUGAUGAAGCCUGUCGCCACCAUCUGCGCCUCCAUGGUCGCCGUCGUUGAAGCCAUGCGAGAAGGGAACCACUGCUGUAAUGGAGAACGUCACACCAUCGCCGAGCUUGCUCCGUGGUUGCAGAUGAGCUUGCCGUUGUGGGGUAAGGAGAUGCGCGCGAGGAGAAGGCCGCGGAGGAAGAUGAACCAUUGCUGCUGGAGGUUGCCACCGUUCUGUUGCUUGGGAUCCACUGCCGCUCUGCUUCCAUGUUUUUCUUUUGUUAAUAAGUAAGCGGAGCUGUGGAAGUAAGUGGAGCUGUGGAUUGUGGAUGCAGCCACUGCGGUUGUGAGCCAAGGAAAAAAAGGGACUUAUCGCGUUAGAAUCACGGCGGGCUUGAUUCCUCGAGCUCUUUGCCCGUCGUUUGUCGCUGUGUUUGCUGCUAGCUUACCAUCUUCAAAGAUAGAGACGGGCAUCGUGUUCUAUGAGAUGUACGAAUCAUUUGUUUAAAAGGAUCAUAUUUUUGGGAGUUAUUUUAUCCAUGUGAUAUCUCGUGUUAGAUUUUAUAUACUACGUAACAGACCAUUCAUGCACCCCUAGAUAGACCAGAUUUUGACCCAGAUAUGUCAAACUACUUCCUUUUGUCAUGGUUAGAUCUAGACAGAUUUACACACGCAUUUUUUACUCAUCUAGGUCAUGAGGCUUGACUUGAGCCCGACCCAGACGAUGUGGAUGUCCCUAAGCCUCCACUUGAGGUAGCUGCACCUCUAGAGCCUUAGCUUCCACUUUCUCCCAUGGAUCAAGUAGUCACCCAGUAUGGACACUAGGUGAGGUUCUCACUCGAGUCUACACUAAUAGACCUAUCCAUGUGAAUGGAGAUAUUGGCAACUCUUCUAGUGAAGAGGUCCCAGAGGAAGAGGUCCCAGAAGCGGAGGAGGAGGAGGAAGAGGAGGAUCCAGUGGAGGACCCUGGAUGGGCUUAGAGAGAUGUACAGCCAGCAGGCUGGCCACCUACAAACCUGCCCAAAGGUGAUGUGUGAUCUUGGAGUUAGACCAUGACGACACCAUACUUUUAGAGAGCAUCCGGUUAGGCACGACUGAGGAGCUUUAAAGAAUUAUCCCUACUUUUGUUAGAGUAUGGGAGGGGCUAGAGAUGUCUAGACGGCUAGGUUAGCCUGCACACCAACUUAGAGGUUUUUUGGAUGGGUCAAGUUCUCGGAUGUCGAAUGUAGAUAUAUGUAUGUGUUAUGUAUCUAUUAUAAAGGGGGUGUAGUGUACCUGAAUCAGGUUAACGAGUUUGUGGAUAACUGUACUCUGUAAUAUAUACAUGUGUGAGUGAUAUGCAUUUAAUAUAUGUAUUUACUUUCUCUCAUAA
This is an RNA transcript of Arachis duranensis, 1738 nucleotides long. RefSeq lists it as uncharacterized. The record is from RefSeq and is a predicted model, not a curated record. The transcript has 4 exons. NCBI's taxonomy places the organism in Eukaryota, Viridiplantae, Streptophyta, Magnoliopsida, Fabales, Fabaceae.